UUGAACGCGUCUGUGACUAAACCAGUUUCAGGGGUCCACGGUUCUGGACUAAGAUGGACCUUGACAGGAAUUUCAAACCUUUGCAGUUUGACUAGAAAGGAAAGGAAUACUCAAAAUUAGUAUGGAAAUAAACUUGGUCAUCACAAUGGAGACAGGUUAAUGAUCAGAGCUAUGGAGAAGCAACCCUGCUCAGGGCAAAGAAAUAAGAUCUCCGUGGAGACAAGCAGACCAUUUUGGAAGUUACACAGUGCAUCUUUUAACACAUCCACAGUGGAUUCAACACAUCAUACAUACCUACUAUCUGCAGACAGCCAUCAGGGUGAAACUCUC
Molecule: long non-coding RNA, 330 nt
Organism: Boleophthalmus pectinirostris (great blue-spotted mudskipper)
Lineage: Eukaryota; Metazoa; Chordata; Actinopteri; Gobiiformes; Gobiidae
Exons: 3
Source: RefSeq, a predicted model, not a curated record